RNAcentral lists this non-coding RNA (31 nucleotides) under Homo sapiens (human). The record is from RNAcentral. Lineage: Eukaryota; Metazoa; Chordata; Mammalia; Primates; Hominidae.
UAGGAGACAGUGGAGCCCCGAGUGGCUCAGU